Molecule: transfer RNA, 68 nt
Filed under: Loxodonta africana (African savanna elephant)
Lineage: Eukaryota; Metazoa; Chordata; Mammalia; Proboscidea; Elephantidae
Rfam family: tRNA
About the family: Transfer RNA (tRNA) molecules are approximately 80 nucleotides in length. Their secondary structure includes four short double-helical elements and three loops (D, anti-codon, and T loops).
Source: Rfam by way of RNAcentral
UUGAUAGUUCAGUGGUAGAAUUCUUGCUUCCCAUGCAGGAGACCUGGGUUCGAUUCCCUGAGGUCAAU